CCUACGGGAGACUGCAGUGAGGAAUAUUGGUCAAUGGACGCAAGUCUGAACCAGCCAUGCCGCGUGCAGGAUGACGGCUCUAUGAGUUGUAAACUGCUUUUGUACGAGGGUAAACCCCGAUACGUGUAUCGGGUUGAAAGUAUCGUACGAAUAAGGAUCGGCUAACUCCGUGCCAGCAGCCGCGGUAAUACGGAGGAUCCGAGCGUUAUCCGGAUUUAUUGGGUUUAAAGGGUGCGUAGGCGGUUUGAUAAGUUAGAGGUGAAAUGUCGGGGCUCAACCCCGAAACUGCCUCUAAUACUGUUAGACUAGAGAAUAGUUGCGGUAGGCGGAAUGUAUGGUGUAGCGGUGAAAUGCUUAGAGAACAUACAGAACACCGAUUGCGAAGGCAGCUUACCAAACUAUAUCUGACGUUGAGGCACGAAAGCGUGGGUAGCAAACAGGAUUAGAUACCCCAGUAGUC
Molecule: ribosomal RNA, 460 nt
Filed under: uncultured bacterium
Lineage: Bacteria
Description: partial 16S ribosomal RNA
Rfam family: Bacterial small subunit ribosomal RNA
Source: RNAcentral